Long non-coding RNA from Protopterus annectens (West African lungfish), 2859 nucleotides. RefSeq lists it as uncharacterized. The transcript has 3 exons. Lineage: Eukaryota; Metazoa; Chordata; Ceratodontiformes; Protopteridae. The record is from RefSeq and is a predicted model, not a curated record.
CAGCCCUCGUUUUCCCCCCGGCAUCCUGUGUUGUACAAGUUCUUGUCAGGGCUGGCUGUUGUCUCGGCUACGCUCGAGUAAUACUUUAAAUCCGGCUGGGUAGGUUUGGAAGGGAUGAAGCAGUUCAUGGUAACGCGCUGCUCGAGAUGCUGCUGCUAGGACGGCUGUGGUACUGCCACACACACUGAGCUCAGGAACCGCAGGCUCUAGGGCCACUGCGCUUGCGUGCAGUGGCAACCCGCCCGCGCGCUCACACCUACUGGCAAGAGGGACUCAAGGGUAGGUUGUAGUUAUGACUCCUACAAAACGGCGAGGCCACAUCGCCUGUGGGCACUGGGCAGAAGCCAAUUGGCGUAACAUAACCUAAAGAAGCUCAAAGAAGUAAAGUCAAACGAGAUACCCAUUAGGAUGAUUUUUAGGUGUCCGUCAGGGAUUUUAUAAGAAGGUCGACUUCGGUAACUGCAGAUAGCAAAGCAAUAUCAUGCUGCACCGUCUUUAGUAAUUGUGCCAGCACACUGGAAGCCUUGGGUGGCGGCCACUCAACUGACUUUUCUCUUUUAGCUGUACUCCGCAGUUUUGGAAACUGUUUUGAAAAUUAGGUAGGUGAAGUCCAGUACGACCUAAAUGCUAAUACUGGUGGUAAACAUCGAUUUUAGUUUCUCUAAACGCAAUGCAAAUUUUAUAUUCCGAGUUUCCAAGUUAUACUGUGCUGGUUGAUGUGCUUAAGUGAGCGCACAUACGAUGUGCCCUUUAUUCAUCCGUGCUUGGGACACAUGGCAUGUGGUAAAUCCGUGUCACUCGAUAACAAGUGGAUGUGAUAAACGUGGUAGAGCCAAGUGCAGCGAUGUUUCUGGUAUUUCUGGACUCAAUACACUAGUAUGAGUUUUGGAAGCUGUUUGCAUCAUGGACAGUUGCAUUCUCCGUGCAUUUCAAAGGGGUUUUGACAGCUGAAUGCGUGAUGCGCGGUGGGUGUGUGUGUGUGCAUGUGGUCUAUGGAGUCUGCGUCUGAGUUGGUGCAAUUACUUGUAUUUGCAUCCCCCACCAAAUUGCACUCCUAAUUUUAAUUACCUCAGAGACUUAAGUUGUUAUUUCAGUGUUUUCGGUCCCAUUUUGAGGAAUGCUAGCAGCCCAAGAAAGCAGGCUACACAGCUGCAGAAACGCACAUCAACGACUCAUUUUAUCAGUAAUUGUCAUACUUAAUGGGAAUUUUAGAAAUAAAGCUAUAUUUCUUUAUACAGCCUUGGAUUUUGAAGUAAGGUGAAGUGACUAACACCAUCACAAGGAAAUGUAGAUGGAUACAGAAACAUCAGUACUUCUAUCCCGUUUUCUGUAGAACAGGGUCUGAAACAUCUCAAGCUGCUAGGUGUUUUCUUCUGAAGAACAUUUCCCUGGCUUGGUUUUCCAUUUUGACGACUUUCUCCGUUUCUACUUUAGCCUAGAUGUCUUUCAGACAGAUUUUUCUCUGUAUUGUUGUCUCGUGUUUUUUUCCCUUGCAGCGCAGAGAACAAUCGGGUUUCGGUAUUUUUCAAUCAAACGUCCUGAAGCCCUUCAUCAUUUGAAAACUUUUAUUUUUCAAGAUGAGACUGAAGUCUUGGGGAACUCUGUUUUUGGAACAUGACAAAGAAGAACCCCUCUCCUACUUCAUCUUGCCUUGCUCUACUGAUCACAAAACUGAGGGCUACAUCUGGAACAUUCUAUGGUGACUAACUUAUACUGAUGAGGGUAGAAGAAGGUGGCUGUGUCAGUGUAAGAGGACUCAGUAACAUCUUCCAUGAUUCAAGAUUAACCUUUGGAAGUACACAAACUCAAAUGUAUACCAGUUGGUGUAAUGAGAGCUUCAUCUUUAAAGAGGAAGAAAUAGCUAUGUACUGAUGAAAGGAUUAAUCGGAUUUGCUGGAGUUACCUCAACCAUUUUAUUUUCUGUCUGCUUAAUAUAUUUAUUAUUUAUUUAUUUAUCUGUAUUUGUUAAAUGGGUUAAAAUACUGAUUCAUAUGCCCCUCGUUUUGACACAACCUUGGAGAGCUAUGUGUUUAACUGACUUUCUCAGAAUCACACGGUAGACAAAUUGAGGGUGAAACAAUUUAAUUGUGGAUAAUAGGAAACUGCUUGCUAACUGCUUAUAGCCUUAGUCUAAGUCCCACACACAAUAUGAUGCAUCUAGUGCAGAUUUACUAAUAAUGGGACUACUAGGCAAUGUACAGAUAGAAAUAUUAAGUAAGGCUAGCCACUAUCUAAUUUUGUGACCUCGGUAAUGUGGUAUUCAAUCUGCUGUUGUCUCAGAUUUAUCUUUUGAUACAAUAUGAAGACAAUCUAAAGUAAGAGAUUGGGGCAAAGAAAGGGAUUGUCUGAACCACAGAUAAAACAUUGGUAAAACUGUGAUAUGAACUCCUUCUACUCUUUGUUGUAUACAUACUGUUUAAAUGUCUAAAAUUAAAUUACCUUUUAUAUUGUAGCAUUACUAAAUUGCAGGUUUUAGUUACAUCCGAUCACAAAUAAAAUUGAUUUAUCACCAUAAGUCAUUAAAACUGUUUGCUAAAUAAAUGAAAAGAAAUCAAUGUUUGCUUUAGUAUAGGCAGAUGAUUGAUCAUUUAUUAUUAAUUGUGCAGGUUCAUACAUUAAAAUGAUAAUCUGAAUUAACUCAAAAGAUGAAACAGUUUGGAAAUGUUACUCUGGCUGGAUAAAAAGACUGAAAUGGCAUCAGCAGAAAAAAGAUGAUUGAUAUUCUGUACUGUUCCUUUAAUAAGACAAAUAUUGGAGAAUGUUUUGUUUGAGAUUUUAACAUAUAGACUGAAGAAGGCAGAAUAUGUGAUCUUGUCAAUUUCUGAACUUUAAAGGGCUAAAUUAUUUUAUCAAACACAA